This 253-nucleotide ribosomal RNA is filed under the name uncultured bacterium. Its description in RNAcentral is "partial 16S ribosomal RNA". It matches the Rfam family "Bacterial small subunit ribosomal RNA", at positions 524 to 776 of the family's 1533-position model. The record is from RNAcentral.
UACGUAGGGUGCAAGCGUUGUCCGGAAUUAUUGGGCGUAAAGAGCUCGUAGGCGGUUUGUUGCGUCGGCUGUGAAAUCCCGAGGCUCAACCUCGGGUCUGCAGUCGAUACGAGCAAACUAGAGUGUUGCAGGGGAGACUGGAAUUCCGGGUGUAGUGGUGAAAUGCGUAGAGAUCCGGAGGAACCCCAGAGGCGAAGGCGGCGCCCUGGCUCGCAACUGACGCUCAGACACGACAGCAUGGGGAGCGAACGGG